This 817-nucleotide small RNA is filed under the name Pongo abelii (Sumatran orangutan). Its description in RNAcentral is "retained intron". Lineage: Eukaryota; Metazoa; Chordata; Mammalia; Primates; Hominidae. The record is from RNAcentral.
GAGCCGCAGCCGCCGCCGCCACUGCCACUCCCGCUCUCUCCGCGCCGCCGUCGCCACCGCCACCGCCACUACCACCGGCUGAGUCUGCAGUCCCGAGGAGAAAUGCAAGCCUGGCAGCCAUUCCGCUCUGAGGAGAUCUGGGGGAACCCCACCGGCUGGCCAAGCUGCAAAGAGGCGCGGGAACCACUGUCGUGCCCCUCCCCUCCUCACUGCAGUGUUCUCCCAUCUCAUCAUUUGAUCGUACCCCGCCCCCCACUGCAGUGACCUCCCCUUCCUCACUGCAUUGACCUUCUCCUCUUCCCAAGGGGGAGGGGGAAUCCCUUCGACAGCCCUAGACUGCAGCCAGCGCCUCCCUACCCACCCCCCACCCACUGCAGUAACCUCUUUCCCAUCCCUCCCAGCCUCCCGCCCCGCCCAUUGAUCUCAGGCUCCACCCCUCUAAGCCUCUUAUCUUUCUCCUUCCUUCCCUUCCACCCGAGGAGAUCCCAGCCAUCAUGUCCAUAGAGAAGAUCUGGGCCCGGGAGAUCCUGGACUCCCGCGGGAACCCCACAGUGGAGGUGGAUCUCUAUACUGCCAAAGGGCUUUUCCGGGCUGCAGUGCCCAGUGGAGCCUCUACGGGUAUCUAUGAGGCCCUGGAGCUGAGGGAUGGAGACAAACAGCGUUACUUAGGCAAAGGUGUCCUGAAGGCAGUGGACCACAUCAACUCCACCAUCGCGCCAGCCCUCAUCAGCUCAGUGAGGCCUGCUCUUUGCUGGGGAUAGCAGGGCCAGAGUUCUGGAAGUAAUCCCGGAGCAGGGCAGGAGAAAGGGGAGAAAGA